UACGGGAGGCAGCAGUUGGGAAUAUUGCACAAUGGGCGCAAGCCUGAUGCAGCCAUGCCGCGUGUAUGAAGAAGGCCUUCGGGUUGUAAAGUACUUUCAGCAGUGAGGAAGGUGGGUAUGUUAAUAGCAUACUCAUUUGACGUUAGCUGCAGAAGAAGCACCGGCUAACUCCGUGCCAGCAGCCGCGGUAAUACGGAGGGUGCGAGCGUUAAUCGGAAUUACUGGGCGUAAAGCGCAUGCAGGUGGUUUGUUAAGUCAGAUGUGAAAGCCCCGGGGCUCAACCUCGGAAUUGCAUUUGAAACUGGCAGACUAGAGUACUGUAGAGGGGGUAGAAUUUCAGGUGUAGCGGUGAAAUGCGUAGGGAUCUGAAGGAAUACCGGUGGCGAAGGCGGCCCCCUGGACAGAUACUGACACUCAGAUGCGAAAGCGUGGGGAGCAAACAGGAUUAGAUACCCUGGUAG
RNAcentral lists this ribosomal RNA (461 nucleotides) under uncultured bacterium. Its description in RNAcentral is "bacterial SSU rRNA". It matches the Rfam family "Bacterial small subunit ribosomal RNA", at positions 340 to 793 of the family's 1533-position model. The record is from RNAcentral.